RNAcentral lists this ribosomal RNA (551 nucleotides) under uncultured Bacteroidota bacterium. RNAcentral describes it as "bacterial SSU rRNA". It matches the Rfam family "Bacterial small subunit ribosomal RNA", at positions 887 to 1445 of the family's 1533-position model. The record is from RNAcentral. Lineage: Bacteria; Pseudomonadati; Bacteroidota.
CGCAAGGUUGAAACUCAAAGGAAUUGACGGGGGCCCGCACAAGCGGUGGAGCAUGUGGUUUAAUUCGAUGAUACGCGGGGAACCUUACCUGGGCUUAAAUGCAUAAUGACCGUCUCGGAAACGAGACUUUCUUCGGACAGAAUGCAAGGUGCUGCAUGGUUGUCGUCAGCUCGUGCUGUGAGGUGUCGGGUUAAGUCCCAUAACGAGCGCAACCCCUAUUCUUAGUUGCCAGCGGAUAAUGCCGGGGACUCUAAGGAAACUGCCCGCGCAAGCGGAGAGGAAGGUGGGGAUGACGUCAAAUCAUCACGGCCCUUACGUCCAGGGCUACACACGUGCUACAAUGGUCAGUACAAAGGGCAGCUACCUGGUGACAGGAUGCUAAUCUCGAAAACUGAUCUCAGUUCGGAUCGAAGUCUGCAACUCGACUUCGUGAAGUUGGAAUCGCUAGUAAUCGCGCAUCAGCCAUGGCGCGGUGAAUACGUUCCCGGGCCUUGUACACACCGCCCGUCAAGCCAUGGAAGCUGGGGGUACCUAAAGUCAGUAACCGCAAG